RNAcentral lists this ribosomal RNA (465 nucleotides) under uncultured bacterium. RNAcentral describes it as "partial 16S ribosomal RNA". It matches the Rfam family "Bacterial small subunit ribosomal RNA", at positions 28 to 507 of the family's 1533-position model. The record is from RNAcentral.
GACGAACGCUGGCGGCGUGCUUAACACAUGCAAGUCGAACGGAAAGGCCCCUUUGGGGGUACUCGAGUGGCGAACGGGUGAGUAACACGUGAGUAACCUGCCCUUUCCUUCGGGAUAACUUCAGGAAACUGGGGCUAAUACCGGAUAGGAAUCCUUGCUGCAUGGUGGGGGUUGGAAAGCUUCGGCGGUUUUGGAUGGACUCGCGGCUUAUCAGCUUGUUGGUGGGGUAGUGGCUUACCAAGGCUUUGACGGGUAGCCGGCCUGAGAGGGCGACCGGCCACAUUGGGACUGAGAUACGGCCCAGACUCCUACGGGAGGCAGCAGUGGGGAAUAUUGCACAAUGGGCGGAAGCCUGAUGCAGCAACGCCGCGUGCGGGAUGACGGCCUUCGGGUUGUAAACCGCUUUCAGCAGGGGCGAAGCUUGUGGUGACGGUACCUGCAGAAGAAGCACCGGCUAACUACGUG